GUACUUUGAAGAGAGAGUAAACAGUGCGUGAACCGCUCAGAGGUAAACGGGUGGAGUUGAACUGCAAGCUCUGUGAAUUCAGCUGGUGAGCAUGGUUUGAGCUUGGUUAAAUUGGUUGAGCUUCGAGGUCUGCGUAUUAGCAGGUCUUUGCCUUCGGGUGGAGAUGCGCGGUACACCUACCAAGUGUUGUGCGCUUCGGAGUUUCGGAUCAGCUCGCCAGUGCACUUUUGCAGAGAGUUCACCACGACCGGCAUCGCUGUCUGACUGUUGUGGUUAAACCGGUCUUGCAUCGUUGUUGAAGCUUUGCUUGAUCGGGAGGGCAGGUAGCUCGUUGGUGUUCCGUGGCUUGCUGCGGUCGUCUUCGGGUGUAAUCAGCUGACUACGAUGGUUCUGUGCAGUAUGUCGGAGACGGCGGCUUGUGUGUGCGUGCGUGCCGUUCUUGUGGGCUUGCUCGUGUCUGACUGUCAUGUGCUUGCGCAAGCAGGCCUGGUAGUGGCUCGGGUUUGUCCUGUGAGUGGUUGCGUGCGUGUCACGUUGCGGGCCAAUAGUCUGUGGUGUAGUGUUAGACGAUCCACCUGACCCGUCUUGAAACACGGACCAAGGAGAGUAACAUGUGCGCGAGUCAUUGGGCGUAACGAAACCCAAAGGCGCAGUGAAAGUAAAGGCUGGAUUCAUUCUAGCUGAGGUGAGAUCCUGCCGUUUCUCAUGCACGGUACUACCAAGCAUCGAGCGGUGGGCGCAUCACCGGCCCGUCCCAUGAUGUAGACACAUAGCUUCGUGCCAGUGCACCGUCGGGGCGGAGCAUGAGCGUACAUGUUGAGACCCGAAAGAUGGUGAACUAUGCUUGCGCAGGUUGAAGCCAGAGGAAACUCUGGUGGAGGACCGCAGCGAUUCUGAGUGCAAAUCGAUCGUCAAACGUGAGUAUA
RNAcentral lists this ribosomal RNA (926 nucleotides) under Ekuarhuni papillatum. RNAcentral describes it as "partial large subunit ribosomal RNA". It matches the Rfam family "Eukaryotic large subunit ribosomal RNA", at positions 371 to 919 of the family's 3401-position model. The record is from RNAcentral. Lineage: Eukaryota; Metazoa; Platyhelminthes; Trematoda; Plagiorchiida; Haploporidae.